GGAAUGACUCUCGGCAACGGAUAUCUCGGCUCUCGCAUCGAUGAAGAACGCAGCGAAAUGCGAUACUUGGUGUGAAUUGCAGAAUCCCGCGAACCAUCGAGUCUUUGAACGCAAGUUGCGCCCAAGGCCUUCCGGCCGAGGGCACGUCUGCCUGGGUGUCACGCAACAU
This 169-nucleotide ribosomal RNA is filed under the name Croton pachypodus. Its description in RNAcentral is "5.8S ribosomal RNA". It matches the Rfam family "5.8S ribosomal RNA". From Rfam's summary of the family: 5.8S ribosomal RNA (5.8S rRNA) is a component of the large subunit of the eukaryotic ribosome. It is transcribed by RNA polymerase I as part of the 45S precursor that also contains 18S and 28S rRNA. Lineage: Eukaryota; Viridiplantae; Streptophyta; Magnoliopsida; Malpighiales; Euphorbiaceae. The record is from RNAcentral.